RNAcentral lists this long non-coding RNA (262 nucleotides) under Vigna radiata. RNAcentral describes it as "long non-coding RNA (VRAD_LNC011164)". The record is from RNAcentral. Lineage: Eukaryota; Viridiplantae; Streptophyta; Magnoliopsida; Fabales; Fabaceae.
GAUGCUGAGUUUCCAUUGCCGAUCUUUAGCCCGCUUAAGGGGAUUGAAACAUUCCUCAAUUGCUGCAAGAAUUUGAUCGGAGAAAUGAAGAAGGUGAUGGCCAAGGCCUGAGAUCGUUGACCAGGACUUCUUAUGACUCACAUCUUGGAAACUUGUAAGUGAUGGGCCACCCUAUUGACUCUGUUUCGUGGUAAUUUCCAAAUUUUAUCGGGGCAAUCUUUUCAUGGCUUUAUAAUUUCUGACUAUAGUAUUUGAACUACAU